GACGAACGCUGGCGGCGUGCUUAACACAUGCAAGUCGAACGGAAAGGCCCCUUUUGGGGUACUCGCGUGGCGAACGGGUGAGUAACACGUGCGUAACCUGCCCUUGCCUUCGGGAUAACUUCAGGAAACUGGGGCUAAUACCGGAUAGGAAUCCUUGCUGCAUGGUGGGGGUUGGAAAGCUUCGGCGGUUUGGGAUGGACUCGCGGCUUAUCAGCUUGCUGGUGGGGUAGUGGCUUACCAAGGCUUUGACGGGUAGCCGGCCUGAGAGGGCGACCGGCCACAUUGGGACUGAGAUACGGCCCAGACUCCUACGGGAGGCAGCAGGGGGGAAUAAUGCACAAUGGGCGGAAGCCUGAUGCAGCAACGCCGCGGGCGGGAUGACGGCCUUCGGGGUGUAAACCGCUUUCAGCAGGGGCGAAGCUGGUGGUGACGGUACCUGCAGAAGAAGCACCGGCUAACUACGUG
RNAcentral lists this ribosomal RNA (465 nucleotides) under uncultured bacterium. RNAcentral describes it as "partial 16S ribosomal RNA". It matches the Rfam family "Bacterial small subunit ribosomal RNA", at positions 28 to 507 of the family's 1533-position model. The record is from RNAcentral.